CUACGGGGCGCUGCAGUGGGGAAUAUUGCACAAUGGGCGAAAGCCUGAUGCAGCAACGCCGCGUGGAGGAUGACACAUUUCGGUGCGUAAACUCCUUUUAUAUAAGAAGAUAAUGACGGUAUUAUAUGAAUAAGCACCGGCUAACUCCGUGCCAGCAGCCGCGGUAAUACGGGGGGUGCAAGCGUUACUCGGAAUCACUGGGCGUAAAGAGCAUGUAGGCUGGAUGACAAGUUGGAAGUGAAAUCCUAUGGCUUAACCAUAGAACUGCUUCCAAAACUGUCUUCCUAGAGUAUGGGAGAGGUAGAUGGAAUUUCUGGCGUAGGGGUAAAAUCCGUAGAGAUCAGAAGGAAUACCGAUUGCGAAGGCGAUCUACUGGAACAUUACUGACGCUCAGAUGCGAAAGCGUGGGGAGCAAACAGGAUUAGAUACCCGGGUAGUC
RNAcentral lists this ribosomal RNA (439 nucleotides) under uncultured bacterium. RNAcentral's name for it is "partial 16S ribosomal RNA". It matches the Rfam family "Bacterial small subunit ribosomal RNA", at positions 339 to 795 of the family's 1533-position model. The record is from RNAcentral.